GUAGGUGGCAAGCGUUGUCCGGAAUUAUUGGGCGUAAGCGCGCGCAGGCGGUUCGUUUAAGUCUGAUGUGAAAGCCCACGGGCUCAACCGUGGAGGGUCAUUGGAAACUGGAGAACUUGAGUACAGAAGAGGAAAGCGGAAUUCCACGUGUAGCGGUGAAAUGCGUAGAGAUGUGGAGGAACACCAGUGGCGAAGGCGGCUUUCUGGUCUGUAACUGACGCUGAGGCGCGAAAGCGUGGGGAGCAAACAGGAUUAGAUACCCUGGUAGUCCACGCCGUAAACGAUGAGUGCUAAGUGUUAGGGGGGUUUCCGCCCCUUAGUGCUGCAGCUAACGCAUUAAGCACUCCGCCUGGGGAGUACGGCCGCAAGGCUG
Molecule: ribosomal RNA, 373 nt
Filed under: uncultured organism
Description: partial 16S ribosomal RNA
Rfam family: Bacterial small subunit ribosomal RNA
Source: RNAcentral